RNAcentral lists this ribosomal RNA (253 nucleotides) under uncultured bacterium. RNAcentral describes it as "partial 16S ribosomal RNA". It matches the Rfam family "Bacterial small subunit ribosomal RNA", at positions 524 to 776 of the family's 1533-position model. The record is from RNAcentral.
GACGGAGGAUGCAAGUGUUAUCCGGAAUCACUGGGCGUAAAGCGUCUGUAGGUGGUUCGAAAAGUCCACUGUUAAAAAUUGAGGCUUAACUUCAAAGAUGCCGUGGAAACUUUCAAACUAGAGUAUGGUAGGGGCAGAGGGAAUUCCUGGUGUAGCGGUGAAAUGCGUAGAGAUCAGGAAGAACAUCGGUGGCGAAGGCGCUCUGCUGGACCAUAACUGACACUCAGGGACGAAAGCUAGGGGAGCGAAUGGG